RNAcentral lists this long non-coding RNA (356 nucleotides) under Struthio camelus australis. Its description in RNAcentral is "lncRNA (ENSSCUG00000012143.1)". Lineage: Eukaryota; Metazoa; Chordata; Aves; Struthioniformes; Struthionidae. The record is from RNAcentral.
GAAUGAAGUGAAACCAUUACUGUAAACACAGAAGACAUUCAGCAAUGUUCCGAAGCACAGAUUUUUGGCAGCAGUAAGCUCUCUCCAGAUAGCUGCUUGGGAGUUUACACAUUGGUCACAUAUGAAUCCAUUUUGUGAACCUUACUCAAAUCUGCACCUGCCUCCCAGAGACAAACGGAAAGGGGAAGAGAUGGCAGCUGGCACAUCUACCUACAGUCCUGGUCACCUCUCCGCUCCUGUUUGACAGGGAAGUGUUGCUGAGUCUUUGCAGCAUCCCCUCUACAGCCUGCCUCACUCCGCGUAGCUCUGAAGAUCUGGCUCAGAGAAAUCAGAGGGCCGAGCUGCCUCCCAGCUUC